RNAcentral lists this long non-coding RNA (279 nucleotides) under Papio anubis (olive baboon). RNAcentral's name for it is "lncRNA (ENSPANG00000039771.1)". Lineage: Eukaryota; Metazoa; Chordata; Mammalia; Primates; Cercopithecidae. The record is from RNAcentral.
AGGCAAUUUGAUAUCAUAAUAGAGCACUGCAGACACAAUGCUGAGUGAAGAGGAGUAGAAAUGGGAAGACUUGGUUGAGCAGAAACUGAAUUCUUGAAAAGAGGAGAUGCUCGAUGAGGGCAUGGAAGCCUAAGGUCUGUCUCCAAAACUAUAAGACUAUUUGACAUCAUAAUAAAACACUGCAGAUAUGAUGCUGAGUAAGAGUGGAAAUGGGAAGACUUGGUUGUGCAGUAACUGAGUUCUUGAAAAGAGGAAAUGCUUGAUGAGGGUGAGUGGAUU